AACGACUCUCGGCAACGGAUAUCUCGGCUCUCGCAUCGAUGAAGAACGUAGCGAAAUGCGAUACUUGGUGUGAAUUGCAGAAUCCCGUGAACCAUCGAGUCUUUGAACGCAAGUUGCGCCCGAAGCCACUCGGCCGAGGGCACGCCUGCCUGGGCGUCACGC
This 162-nucleotide ribosomal RNA is filed under the name Microtoena sp. GY-2016. Its description in RNAcentral is "5.8S ribosomal RNA". It matches the Rfam family "5.8S ribosomal RNA". From Rfam's summary of the family: 5.8S ribosomal RNA (5.8S rRNA) is a component of the large subunit of the eukaryotic ribosome. It is transcribed by RNA polymerase I as part of the 45S precursor that also contains 18S and 28S rRNA. Functionally, it is thought that 5.8S rRNA may be involved in ribosome translocation. The record is from RNAcentral. Lineage: Eukaryota; Viridiplantae; Streptophyta; Magnoliopsida; Lamiales; Lamiaceae.